UACGGAGGAUGCGAGCGUUAUCCGGAUUUAUUGGGUUUAAAGGGUGCGCAGGCGGCACGGCAAGCCGGCGGUCAAAUCGCGGGGCUCAACCCCGCCCAGCCGUCGGAACUGCCGGGCUAGAGUGGGCGAGAAGUGCGCGGAAUGCGUGGUGUAGCGGUGAAAUGCAUAGAUAUCACGCAGAACUCCGAUUGCGAAGGCAGCGCACCGGCGCCCUACUGACGCUCAGGCACGAAAGCGUGGGUAUCGUACAGG
This 252-nucleotide ribosomal RNA is filed under the name uncultured bacterium. Its description in RNAcentral is "partial 16S ribosomal RNA". It matches the Rfam family "Bacterial small subunit ribosomal RNA", at positions 524 to 776 of the family's 1533-position model. The record is from RNAcentral.